This 381-nucleotide ribosomal RNA is filed under the name Percopsis omiscomaycus. Its description in RNAcentral is "partial 16S ribosomal RNA". It matches the Rfam family "Bacterial large subunit ribosomal RNA", at positions 1962 to 2502 of the family's 2925-position model. The record is from RNAcentral. Lineage: Eukaryota; Metazoa; Chordata; Actinopteri; Percopsiformes; Percopsidae.
CAAUCACUUGUCUCUUAAAUGGAGACCUGUAUGAAUGGCAUCACGAGGGCUUAGCUGUCUCCUUUUUCCAGUCAAUGAAAUUGAUCUCCCCGUGCAGAAGCGGGGAUAAACACAUAAGACGAGAAGACCCUAUGGAGCUUAAGACCAACCUCGGCCCAUGUGGAGCACUCAACAAAGGCAGAACUAAGUGGACCCGAGGAAGUGUCUUUGGUUGGGGCGACCGCGGGGGAUCAACAAGCCCCCAUGUGGAAUAGAGAAACAUCUCUAGAACCCAGAGCUACUGCUCCAAGUAACAGAACAUCUGACCUACACGAUCCGGCAAAGCCGAUCAACGAACCGAGUUACCCUAGGGAUAACAGCGCAAUCCUCUCCCAGAGCCCA